This is an RNA transcript of Carassius carassius (crucian carp), 4241 nucleotides long. It is a transcript of the gene named UDP-N-acetylglucosamine--peptide N-acetylglucosaminyltransferase 110 kDa subunit, with no coding region annotated. The record is from RefSeq and is a predicted model, not a curated record. The transcript has 24 exons. Lineage: Eukaryota; Metazoa; Chordata; Actinopteri; Cypriniformes; Cyprinidae.
AAUUUUAGUACCAAUCUCGAUUUAAUGUUUAAGGCUUUAAGAUAUGUAUUCUUAGGGCAAGGGACGUCGAGAAAAACAUACUUUAAGGCGUUUUCUUUGCGCGUUUGAUUCGGUGAAUUUGUCCGCUUUCUCCUGUUAGUGUUAGCUUAGCAGUAGCAAGACCGCAGGCUGUUUACCGACGAUUUCAGCGUUUCUUGCAAUAAUAUCCAAACCUAGCUUUAAAUUUAAUAAAUACAUUUAAUUUACAUUAUAUUUGACAUCUUGUCUUAAAUCGUCACACUGUCCGCCGUCGCACAGGAUUCAGUGAAGAGUGAAGGAGAGAUGGCGAGCUCGGUGGGGAACGUGGCUGAUAGCACAGAACCAACCAAACGUAUGCUUUCCUUCCAAGGGUUGGCAGAGCUGGCGCACCGUGAAUAUCAGUCUGGAGAUUUUGAGGCGGCGGAGCGUCACUGUAUGCAGCUGUGGAGGCAGGAGCCGGAUAAUACUGGUGUACUGCUGCUGCUGUCCUCCAUCCACUUCCAGUGUCGCAGGCUUGACAGGUCUGCCCACUUUAGCACUCUGGCCAUCAAGCAGAACCCCAUGCUGGCCGAGGCCUACUCUAACCUGGGCAACGUUUACAAGGAACGGGGUCAACUCCAGGAGGCCAUAGAUCACUACCGCCAUGCGCUCCGUCUCAAACCGGACUUCAUCGAUGGAUACAUCAACCUGGCAGCAGCUUUGGUGGCAGCAGGGGACAUGGAGGGAGCCGUUCAAGCAUAUGUGUCCGCUCUCCAGUAUAAUCCUGAUCUGUAUUGUGUGCGCAGUGACUUGGGUAACCUGCUUAAAGCGCUCGGGCGCCUUGAAGAGGCAAAGGCUUGUUACCUGAAAGCAAUUGAAACCCAGCCAAACUUUGCCGUGGCAUGGAGUAACCUGGGCUGCGUGUUCAAUGCCCAGGGGGAGAUCUGGCUGGCCAUACAUCAUUUUGAGAAGGCAGUGACCCUGGACCCUAACUUUUUGGAUGCUUACAUCAACUUGGGCAAUGUUCUGAAAGAGGCUCGUAUCUUUGACAGAGCUGUUGCUGGUUAUCUGCGUGCCCUCAGCCUGAGCCCUAAUCAUGCUGUUGUCCAUGGAAACCUGGCGUGCGUGUACUACGAGCAGGGAUUGAUUGACCUGGCCAUUGAUACUUACCGUCGUGCCAUUGAACUGCAGCCACACUUUCCUGAUGCAUACUGCAAUCUCGCUAAUGCACUGAAAGAGAAAGGCAAUGUUUCUGAAGCUGAAGAUUGUUACAACACUGCGCUGCGUCUGUGCCCGACUCACGCUGACUCCCUUAACAAUCUGGCCAACAUCAAGCGUGAGCAAGGCAACAUUGAGGAAGCUGUGCAGCUCUACAGAAAAGCGCUGGAGGUGUUCCCUGAAUUUGCUGCUGCCCAUUCAAACCUUGCCAGUGUCCUGCAGCAGCAGGGGAAACUUCAGGAAGCUCUCAUGCACUAUAAGGAAGCAAUCAGAAUCAGCCCCACAUUUGCUGAUGCUUACUCUAAUAUGGGCAACACUCUGAAAGAGAUGCAGGAUGUUCAGGGAGCGCUGCAGUGCUACACUCGAGCCAUUCAGAUCAACCCCGCUUUUGCAGAUGCUCACAGUAACUUGGCCUCAAUACACAAGGAUUCUGGGAAUAUUCCUGAAGCGAUUGCAUCGUACCGCACUGCCCUGAAGCUCAAGCCUGACUUCCCUGAUGCUUAUUGUAACCUGGCUCACUGUCUGCAGAUUGUAUGUGACUGGACUGACUAUGAUGAGCGCAUGAAGAAGCUGGUGAGCAUUGUGGCUGAUCAACUUGAGAAGAACCGCUUGCCAUCCGUGCAUCCCCAUCAUAGCAUGCUCUACCCCCUCUCUCACGGUUUCCGCAAGGCAAUUGCAGAGAGGCAUGGCAACUUGUGUCUGGAUAAGAUCAAUGCUCUUCAUAAACCUGCCUAUGAGCAUCCAAAGGACUUGAAGGCCAGUGGAGGCCGUUUGCGUGUGGGUUACAUUAGCUCUGAUUUUGGCAACCAUCCCACGUCCCACCUGAUGCAGUCCAUCCCUGGCAUGCACAACUCUGAGAAGUUCGAGGUGUUUUGCUAUGCUCUCAGCCCAGAUGACAGCACCAACUUCAGAGUUAAAGUCAUGGCGGAGGCUCAUCACUUUAUUGACCUCUCACAGAUCCCCUGUAAUGGAAAGGCAGCAGACCGGAUCCAUCAAGAUGGAGUCCACAUCCUGGUCAACAUGAAUGGUUAUACUAAAGGAGCACGCAAUGAGCUUUUCGCAUUACACCCUGCACCCAUUCAGGCCAUGUGGCUUGGAUACCCAGGCACCAGUGGAGCUCCGUUCAUGGACUACAUUAUCACUGAUAAAGAGACGUCUCCUUUUGAGGUCGCAGAGCAGUACUCUGAGAAAAUGGCCUACAUGCCAAACACUUUCUUCAUUGGAGAUCACGCCAACAUGUUCCCUCACCUCAAGAAAAAAGCAGUGAUCGACUUCAAGUCAAAUGGCCAUAUUUUUGACAAUCGCAUAGUACUGAAUGGCAUUGAUCUGAAAGCCUUCCUGGAAAGCCUGCCAGAUAUCAAAAUUGUGAAGAUGGAAUGUGAUGGUCAAGAGUCCACUGACAGUAACGGUGCCCUCUCUAUGCCUGUCAUCCCUAUGAACACAGCCGCUGAGGCCAUCAUAAACAUGAUCAACCAGGGCCAGAUCCAGGUCACCAUCAAUGGAUUUACGGUCAGCAACGGCCUGGCCACCACUCAGAUUUUUACAGUGGAGGAGGUUAUUGUAUCUGGGACUGUAGCCUUGCAGAUUAACAACAAAGCAGCAACAGGAGAAGAGGUUCCCAGAACAAUCGUGGUGACCACCCGCUCGCAGUAUGGCCUCCCUGAAGACUCUAUUGUCUAUUGCAACUUCAACCAGCUCUACAAGAUUGACCCUCCCACCCUGCAGAUGUGGGCCAAUAUCCUGAAGCGUGUGCCCAACAGUGUGCUUUGGCUGCUGCGCUUCCCAGCUGUGGGUGAGCCCAAUAUCCAACAGUACGCUCAGAACCUGGGCCUGCCUGCUUCCCGCAUCAUCUUCUCCCCCGUGGCUCCCAAAGAGGAGCAUGUGAGACGUGGACAGCUGGCUGAUGUGUGCCUGGACACGCCGCUCUGUAACGGACACACCACAGGCAUGGAUGUGCUGUGGGCUGGUACCCCCAUGGUCACUAUGCCAGGAGAGACACUGGCUUCUCGUGUCGCUGCCUCUCAGCUCACCUGUCUUGGCUGCCCUGAGCUCAUCGCCCAAAGCCGUCAGGAGUACGAAGACGUUGCUGUGAAGCUUGGCACUGAUAUGGAAUUCCUGAAGAAGGUCCGUGCCCGCGUGUGGAAGCAGCGCAUCUGCAGCCCGCUCUUCAACACCAAACAGUACACCAUGGACCUGGAGAGACUCUACCUGCAGAUGUGGGAGCAUUACGCUGCUGGUGGCAAACCUGACCACCUGGUCAAAAUGCAGUCUCUGGAGAGCAGCGAGAGCGCCUAAGUGAAGCUUGUCCCUGCAUGUGCCCUGUCCCCCAAUAUGUGACGUCACAGAGACUCAUGGAGCCUACAGGUGACUAUGAUCCCAGCCAGCUUUUAUUCCCAUGAGCCCGAGUGGACAGCAGGAUGCACAAAGCUGCUCCACUGAGACUCCUCCCUCUUCCCCAUCGUCUGACUAAAUUGAUGUUGAUUGGCUCCACUUUCGUUUUGUUUGUUUCUCUGCUUCUAAAGGACUUUUCUGUAACUGAAGUGGACUUUAUGGGAAAAAAGUGGGGUCUGAAAAGAGAAGGGGCAGUCUUACAAUAAUUCAGAAAAUAUAAACGUAAACAUCACAGAUAGGGGCUUUUUUUAGUUAGGUUUAUGUGCUGCUUGACCUAUUUUAGCUUUGUCAUCAUGACUUAAAUCUGAGGGGCGGAUGCAUACCUCGGAUCACCGAUCUUUUUGCCAACAUUUCCGUAUGCUAUCGAUAGAGAAUUUCCUCUUUAUCAAAACAUGCAAUGUGAACGUGUCUUAUUACACACUGACAGAAGGCCUGCAGACCACUCAAGUAUUGACUCCUGAUUUUUCUUUCUUUUUUGUGAUUUUACCGGGAAAUGUCUAGGAGCUAACACACAGGUUAUUGUGAUCUAUACUGCUGUGACGUUGUGCAGGGUGUCUUGUUGCUGACUAAACUUUGAUGUGCACCCACUGUAAAUUUAAUCGCUGUAUUCACUUCAAUAAAGAAAUGUUAAAUAA